This 253-nucleotide ribosomal RNA is filed under the name uncultured prokaryote. RNAcentral's name for it is "partial 16S ribosomal RNA". It matches the Rfam family "Bacterial small subunit ribosomal RNA", at positions 524 to 776 of the family's 1533-position model. The record is from RNAcentral.
UACAGAGGUCCCGAGCGUUGUUCGGAUUCACUGGGCGUAAAGGGUGCGUAGGUGGCUGGGAAAGUUUGAUGUGAAAGCUCAGGGCUUAACCCUGAAAUGGCAUUGAAUACUACUUGGCUGGAGGCUUGGAGGGGGGACUGGAAUACUUGGUGUAGCAGUGAAAUGCGUAGAUAUCGUAAGGAAGACCAGUGGCGAAGGCGGGUCUCUGGACAGUUCCUGACGCUGAGGCACGAAGGUCAGGGGAGCAAACGGG